RNAcentral lists this unclassified non-coding RNA (344 nucleotides) under soil metagenome. RNAcentral's name for it is "partial contains 5.8S ribosomal RNA, internal transcribed spacer 2, and large subunit ribosomal RNA". The stretch from base 1 to 119 matches the Rfam family "5.8S ribosomal RNA", at positions 35 to 154 of the family's 154-position model. The record is from RNAcentral.
GAUGAAGAACGUAGCGAAAUGCGAUACGUAAUGUGAAUUGCAAAUUCAGUGAAUCAUCGAGUCUUUGAACGCACAUUGCGCCCCCUGGUAUUCCGGGGGGCAUGCCUGUCCGAGCGUCAUUGCUGCCCUCAAGCACGGCUUGUGUGUUGGGCCCCGUCCUCCGAUCCCGGGGGACGGGCCCGAAAGGCAGCGGCGGCACCGCGUCCGGUCCUCGAGCGUAUGGGGCUUUGUCACCCGCUCUGUAGGCCCGGCCGGCGCUUGCCGAUCAACCCAAAUUUUUAUCCAGGUUGACCUCGGAUCAGGUAGGGAUACCCGCUGAACUUAAGCAUAUCAAUAGCGGAGGA